AUAGCGUAUAUUAAAGUUGUUGCAGUUAAAAAGCUCGUAGUUGAACUUCAGACCUGGCUGGAUGGUCUGCCUAACGGUAUGUACUGUCCGGCUGGGCCUUACCUCUUGGUGAGCCGGCAUGCCCUUUAUUGGGUGCGUCGGUGAACCAGGACCUUUACCUUGAGAAAAUUAGAGUGUUCAAAGCAGGCCUAUGCCCGAAUACAUUAGCAUGGAAUAAUAAAAUAGGACGUGCGGUUCUAUUUUGUUGGUUUCUAGAGUCGCCGUAAUGAUUAAUAGGGAUAGUUGGGGGCAUUGGUAUUGAGUCGCUAGAGGUGAAAUUCUUGGAUUGACUCAAGACCAACUAUUG
This 346-nucleotide ribosomal RNA is filed under the name uncultured eukaryote. RNAcentral's name for it is "SSU rRNA". It matches the Rfam family "Eukaryotic small subunit ribosomal RNA", at positions 594 to 945 of the family's 1831-position model. The record is from RNAcentral.